AUACUUACCUGGCAGGGGAGAUACCAUGAUCACAAGUUGGUUUCCCCAGAGCACGGCUUAUCCAUUACAAUCAAAUGUGCUGAACCCUGUGAUUUCCCCACAUGUGGAAACCUCAGUUGCAUAAUUUAUGCUAGUGGGGGGGCUGUGUUCGCACUUGCCCCAG
Small nuclear RNA from Choloepus hoffmanni (Hoffmann's two-fingered sloth), 163 nucleotides. Its record names the gene U1. It matches the Rfam family "U1 spliceosomal RNA". Rfam says of the family: U1 is a small nuclear RNA (snRNA) component of the spliceosome (involved in pre-mRNA splicing). Its 5' end forms complementary base pairs with the 5' splice junction, thus defining the 5' donor site of an intron. The record is from Ensembl. NCBI's taxonomy places the organism in Eukaryota, Metazoa, Chordata, Mammalia, Pilosa, Megalonychidae.